UUCAGCACUUAUUUCUACGUCACAUAUUUUCUGAUAUAAAACAAAAAUUUAAAACGGGUCAAUGUGACCCGAAGUCAACACAAGGGUUUUAAGAAAGAAACUUCAUACCAACAGGUAGGC
Sander lucioperca (pikeperch) is the source of this 120-nucleotide long non-coding RNA. RefSeq lists it as uncharacterized. Lineage: Eukaryota; Metazoa; Chordata; Actinopteri; Perciformes; Percidae. The transcript is spliced from 3 exons. The record is from RefSeq and is a predicted model, not a curated record.